Molecule: ribosomal RNA, 433 nt
Filed under: uncultured bacterium
Lineage: Bacteria
Description: partial 16S ribosomal RNA
Rfam family: Bacterial small subunit ribosomal RNA
Source: RNAcentral
AACGAACGCUGGCGGCAUGCCUAACACAUGCAAGUCGAACGAGACCUUCGGGUCUAGUGGCGCACGGGUGCGUAACGCGUGGGAACCUGCCCUUAGGUUCGGAAUAACUCCCCGAAAGAGGUGCUAAUACCGGAUAAUGUCUUCGGACCAAAGAUUUAUCGCCUUUGGAUGGGCCCGCGUUGGAUUAGCUAGUUGGUAGGGUAAAAGCCUGCCAAGGCGACGAUCCAUAGCUGGUCUGAGAGGAUGAUCAGCCACACUGGGACUGAGACACGGCCCAGACUCCUACGGGAGGCAGCAGUGGGGAAUAUUGGACAAUGGGCGAAAGCCUGAUCCAGCAAUGCCGCGUGAGUGAUGAAGGCCUUAGGGUUGUAAAGCUCUUUUACCCGGGAUGAUAAUGACAGUACCGGGAGAAUAAGCGCCGGCUAACUCCGUG